AGAGAGUGCAAGCGUUAAUCGGAAUUACUGGGCGUAAAGCGCACGUAGGUGGGUAUUUGAGUCGGAUGUGAAAGCCCUAGGCUUAACCUGGGAAUUGCAUUCGAUACUGGGUACCUAGAGUAUGGUAGAGGGAAGUGGAAUUUCCGGUGUAGCGGUGAAAUGCGUAGAUAUCGGAGGGAACACCAGUGGCGAAGGCGGCUUCCUGGACCAAUACUGACACUGAGGUGCGAAAGCGUGGGGAGCAAACAGGGAUUAGAGACCCUGGUAGUCCACGCCGUCAACGAUGAGAACUAGACGUUGGAAGGGUAACCUUUUAGUGUCGAAGCUAACGCGUUAAGUUCUCCGCCUGGGGAGUACGGCCGCAAGGUUA
RNAcentral lists this ribosomal RNA (370 nucleotides) under uncultured organism. RNAcentral's name for it is "partial 16S ribosomal RNA". It matches the Rfam family "Bacterial small subunit ribosomal RNA", at positions 527 to 896 of the family's 1533-position model. The record is from RNAcentral.